Molecule: ribosomal RNA, 496 nt
Filed under: uncultured bacterium
Lineage: Bacteria
Description: partial 16S ribosomal RNA
Rfam family: Bacterial small subunit ribosomal RNA
Source: RNAcentral
GAUGAACGCUGGCGGCGUGCCUAAUACAUGCAAGUCGAGCGAACAGACGAGGAGCUUGCUCCUCUGACGUUAGCGGCGGACGGGUGAGUAACACGUGGAUAACCUACCUAUAAGACUGGGAUAACUUCGGGAAACCGGAGCUAAUACCGGAUAAUAUAUUGAACCGCAUGGUUCAAUAGUGAAAGACGGUUUUGCUGUCACUUAUAGAUGGAUCCGCGCCGCAUUAGCUAGUUGGUAAGGUAACGGCUUACCAAGGCAACGAUGCGUAGCCGACCUGAGAGGGUGAUCGGCACACUGGAACUGAGACACGGUCCAGACUCCUACGGGAGGCAGCAGUAGGGAAUCUUCCGCAAAGGGCGAAAGCUUGACGGAGCAACGCCGCGUGAGUGAUGAAGGUCUUCGGAUCGUAAAACUCUGUUAUUAGGGAAGAACAAAUGUGUAAGUAACUAUGCACGUCUUGACGGUACCUAAUCAGAAAGCCACGGCUAACUACGUG